Long non-coding RNA from Rana temporaria (common frog), 1606 nucleotides. RefSeq lists it as uncharacterized. NCBI's taxonomy places the organism in Eukaryota, Metazoa, Chordata, Amphibia, Anura, Ranidae. The transcript is spliced from 2 exons. The record is from RefSeq and is a predicted model, not a curated record.
AUAUAUAUUAGUAUUUCGGGUGAUGGGCAAAUACGUGUUUGACUAGUCCUCAAACUGUUCUGAUAGGUAGGAUUGUAUGCCUAUUGGAAGGGACCUGUAUGGAAAGGUUAUGUGAUCGCCAAAGGGCGAGCGCUGUCAUUGCCAAAUAGUGAACUGAAGUAACUGUAUGUGCCUUUGUGACUGAUCAUUAAUAUUGGCUGAAAUGAAAGAAAAUCCAAUCUGCUUCAGUCCACUGUUAUCUCUGUAGGUCACAAUAUGAAUGACCCAAUGAUUGUCGAACCCAGCAGCAAGCACUACCCUGCUGCAGUCGCUGUGCAUCACUGUCAUGAAAAUGGAAUCCUUUCAGGCAACAUGUGCUUGUACAGUUUUUCUAGCAUUUCUUGAUUGACCUAAUGUAAGUGGCUCAUGUUGAGUAGCAUUAUAUCCAAACCGAUAAACCUCAUAUUAACAAAAGCUAGUGCUAAGAGAAAUCAGAGAUCAUGCCAUCUGGGAGGGGGAUCUAAGAUGCCAGUAGUGCUAGAUAACAGAGUAGAGUUUAUUUCAGUGACUUGGCCUACUGCCCUUUACACAAACUGUUUCUGUAAGCUCAGGCUAACACAUUUCAACAAACCAAGCUUUAUUGCAGAGACUUAUAAUUCUUGUUACCAGCCCACAAACCCUUCUGGACAAAAAUCUCUAAAUUACUAAAAAAGUGAGCACUGUCCAGUCCUGAGGUUCCUAUCUGUUGCAAGCAAUGCAUACUUUUUAUAAAGGAGUGAACGCACCACUUUGUGGUUACUGCAUAGCUUUUCAAAUCGAUAGGCCCCCCCAUAAUAAUCGCUGUCAUAAAAAUGUAAAAACGUUAUUAUCCAAAUGUGCAAAAGAGGAGGGUUCCUUUUUGUUAGGUGACGAUGUCACCACUUGAGUGAUGUGGACACUUCUACUGGCUGCCCAGUGACGUGUCCUCCCAUGAUCCAGAAGACCUACAGAACUGGUGAUGUUGCAAGGGGACUGGCGAAGGAUGGGCCAGCAUGGGCACAUAUGCAGUGCUGAAUUACAGGUCCUUGGCACCAACGAGGGACACAGACGGCAGACUUUGGUAAAUAUAAAAUACUCAAACCCUCUCUGGAUUUUUUGAAAUGCUGCCAUUGUAGCAAUUGAAUUGUUCCUUUUUAAAUUUGGUCACAAUAAGCAGUUCUUUCAGACCCUUUAUGCAUAAGGGCUGGGAAAGGUACGUGGUAUUCCAUGGCAGCUCAUCAAAACUGGCCCUAUUUUUAUUGCAUAAGGCUGAGUUGGGUUAUAGCCCACAAUCGCUCUACACAUUUCUAUUCUAUGUAUGUGCGUUUUUUUUUUUUUUUAAUGAGCAUGAAGAUGUGCCUUUUAACAUAUCUUGUAUUUUAAUUUAUCUUUUAUCCGUGUAUAAUCAUGUAUUGAGCAGGGUUAGAAUCUAAGUGUUUGACAUAUGUGUAACAUUUGAAAAGGUCAUUUCUAUUUUAGCCAUUUGGCAUGUCUGGAAAUGCAUUUCAACAGGGCUGUUGGGCCAUGUCAUUUUAAAAAUGGAGAGUGGUUUCUGUAAAAAAAAAAAAAAAUGUACAUUUCAUAUUUUUACUCCUCAGACGUAUAUGUA